AGACAUUAAAGUGGAUCAAGUUACCCAGAGCAGCUGCCCCAAGCUCUUACUUCACCCACAGCCCUUCAGUAUCCAGUAAGUUCAUAGCCCAGCGUGAAAGCAAGGGGCCCAGUGCACCCAUUAGUCAAGCCGAGGAAGGCAUGGAAUAAUAAUGAACGCACCUCACACGCAUGAGCAACUAAAACCCCCUCCACCACCGCCGCCGCUGCCACCGGGAGGGAGAUUUCUCUGUUUCCGGUGCUGUGAAGUGGACCAACUGAAAUAGCAGAAAGCAAAAAAUCACUUCUUGCUUAUUUCUGUCUCCCAAAGGUUGUUAAAGUUUCACCUUACAUCUUGUAGCCAUCAUCUUUAUCCAUAUUUGUCAUCAUCAUCAUUAAUCCCCAUGGUUACGUCACUGUAAUCGUAGGCCAGCACUUGGUUUGCUCAUCUGUCUAUGAGCUGCUGAGUUUGAGGUGAAAGGUCUUUAUAAGUCUAGUAAAAGCUUUCACGUUUGUCUAACAUUAACUGUAUGAUUAUGUAACCAUAUUAUAUACUUUACUGUUGUGCAAACAGUCUAAUCAGACCAGUGUUGUAACUACAGGGAGAAACUGUGCUGCCUCCGGCC
Molecule: non-coding RNA, 604 nt
Organism: Epinephelus lanceolatus (giant grouper)
Lineage: Eukaryota; Metazoa; Chordata; Actinopteri; Perciformes; Serranidae
Source: RefSeq, a predicted model, not a curated record